UUCCAGGGCCCUACGGGGUGCAGCAGGCGCGAAACCUCCGCAAUGUGAGAAAUCGCGACGGGGGGAUCCCAAGUGCCAUUCUUAACGGGAUGGCUUUUCAUUAGUGUAAAGAGCUUUGGAAUAGGGCUCGGCAA
Molecule: ribosomal RNA, 134 nt
Filed under: uncultured archaeon
Lineage: Archaea
Description: partial 16S ribosomal RNA
Rfam family: Archaeal small subunit ribosomal RNA
Source: RNAcentral